This 235-nucleotide unclassified non-coding RNA is filed under the name Hevea brasiliensis (rubber tree). The record is from RNAcentral. Lineage: Eukaryota; Viridiplantae; Streptophyta; Magnoliopsida; Malpighiales; Euphorbiaceae.
AUAUGACCCAGCAAGAUGGUCCUGCAGCACUAAAACAGGCAACCCUGGAAACUCUUGGUUAUGUUUGUGAGGGGAUAUCUGAUCAGGACCUUGUGCAAGACGAAGUAAAUGCUAUUCUGACUGCAGUUGUCCAAGGCAUGACCCUUAUACAGCAUGGUCCUGAAAUCCGCCUUGCAGCAACAAGGGCUUUAUAUGAUGCCUUGAUUUUUGCACAGACCAACUUUGAAAAUGAAAU